UACGUAGGGGGCAAGCGUUGUCCGGAAUCAUUGGGCGUAAAGAGCGUGUAGGCGGUUCAGUAAGUCUGCUGUGAAAGUCCAAGGCUCAACCUUGGGAUGCCGGUGGAUACUGUUGGGCUAGAGUACGGAAGAGGCGAGUGGAAUUCCCGGUGUAGCGGUGAAAUGCGCAGAUAUCGGGAGGAACACCUAUUGCGAAGGCAGCUCGCUGGGACGUCACUGACGCUGAGACGCGAAAGCGUGGGGAGCAAACAGG
Molecule: ribosomal RNA, 253 nt
Filed under: uncultured bacterium
Lineage: Bacteria
Description: partial 16S ribosomal RNA
Rfam family: Bacterial small subunit ribosomal RNA
Source: RNAcentral